CUUUUACCCGAACCGUUCGGAUGGUGAGUUUCUGAAUUUCGGGUUGCCGUGUCGCGACGCUUUGAAGUGUGGCCUACGCAUUGGGUCUGCUGCUGCUGCUGCUGCUUCGGAAGCAAUCUAGAGCUAGAGGUGUUUUCCCUUGAACACGUCUGCGGAUGCUGGUGCGUGAUGCUCUAGGUGAAGCGUCGUCGUCGUCCGUCUACUACUAAGAGGCAUCGCGUCGUGCUGUUGUCGAGAGCGUCGUUAUGGUCAACGGAAUAUGCUAGCAGUGAUGAAAAUUUAAUCAGAAGUGCUAUAAAUAUCGUGAAGAGCCGUGUGUCCGUGAUUUGUGUUGGCAAACAUACGACAGCACAUCGUAUCGUAGUUGUAAGAAGAAAGAGGCGCUCCUCUGCAAGAUCUUUCGCCUUUUGGUACGGGGUUUUUUUCUGGUGCUUUCUUCUCUUCUCGGAGUAUGGGGAAAGGAAGUGGUACUUUGCUACGCUCGCUCAAUGUUUAAAAGUAGUUUAUUUUUGCAGUACGUGUGUUUUGUUUUGAUGAUCCCGUAAAAAGGCGGAGCAAACGCAGUAAAAGUUCCUACGUGUAAAAAGCACCCCGUUUUAGUUUGUACUCGUAUUCAAACUCCCUUCAUCUGCAAUGGGAGAGAUUGUUUUUCAGUAAAAGCACAUAUCCGGUUAACGAGCAGUGAAGGCCACCCCGCCAUAAAAGUGUACCGCAGUGAUUUUUGCGGGUCUUAUGUCACGAAGCUACCUAUAGGUAUAUGUAUCGCCUGGCAGUCGACCGACACAAGCGCAACAUCCGAAGAGGAUCACACUACACUGACGCCACUAAGUCCCCUUCAAAUCGUGCGGGAAUGGAAAUUCGUCUUUGCUUUUUUGGCAACCGACAGCGACCACUGCUUUAGUAAGUGUGUGCCGGAAUACUGCAGAUGGGUUGUGGGUAGAAACCAUCCAAGUUUAGUGUAGUCGGCGGUUUCAACGGCAAACUAGCUGAGCAGCGAACGAGAAAACCGUCACUUGAACGAAAGUCACAGCUCCAAAAACUCUCCAUUUGUUCUCCAACUUCAACCGUCCAGGUUCAACCUGUCUAUCAAGUGUUAACCGUUUGGAACAAAUGCAUAUUCACUCACACAGAAGGAAAGAAAAUCAAACCGUCUAGACCGCCAUGGUGGUUUUCCUAACGCCAAUGGAGUAAAACGAAAAUCAAGUUCCUUCGCCAUAAAUAGAAGCAGAAAAAUUGUACCGAUACCGUGCUAGGAAUCUAAAUUAUGUUGGUAAGGUAGACAACCAUAGUCAAGUCAGUCGUCGUCGGUGGAAAAUAGAUAAGAAAAUUCAUUCAGCUGAUUGUUGUUGUGGGCGUACCGGGUUCGGGUCGUUCGUGUAAAUAGGCUCAAUUGCAUAGUUAGAUAGGUCCUGGUUUAACAAGUUUACCUGCCAAGAGAGCAAUCAAUUUCAACCCUAUAAGCUCUCCAUAUUAUGACCAUGGACUGAUCCCGCAGAGAAAGGAAAACAGUGCCCAGUGAUAUACUUAGUUUGUAUCAACAUAUGGAAUCGUUCGGAUAAAGCAUAGAAGGGGAAAAUAAUUUCCAUAGCUUUAACUAAGCCCCAGAAAAAGGGAAAAAUAACCACAACACUACACCCCCAAGUUCGGAGUUUGGGGCAAAGGGAUUUGGGUUCGCUGGAUAACAAAUCAACAAUUUAAGUCGCCUGUUGCUGAAAUACCCGGAGGAAAAACAACAACACCGAAAAUGAUCUACCGGUGCUGCUUGGUCGUACCCUUGUUGGGGCUGCUCGCUGGAU
Uranotaenia lowii is the source of this 1796-nucleotide long non-coding RNA. RefSeq lists it as uncharacterized. Lineage: Eukaryota; Metazoa; Arthropoda; Insecta; Diptera; Culicidae. The transcript has 3 exons. The record is from RefSeq and is a predicted model, not a curated record.